UACGUGCCAGCAGCCGCGGUAAUACGUAGGGUCCGAGCGUGUCCGGAAUUAUUGGGCGUAAAGGGCUCGUAGGCGGUUUGUCGCGUCGGGAGUGAAAACUAGGGCUCAACCCUGAGCGUGCUUCCGAUACGGGCAGACUAGAGGUAUGCAGGGGAGAACGAAUUCCUGGUGUAGCGGUGGAAUGCGCAGAUAUCAGGAGGAACACCGGUGGCGAAGGCGGUCUCUGGGCAUUACCUGACGCUGAGGAGCGAAAGCAUGGGGAGCGAACAGGAUUAGAUACCUGGUAGUCCAUGCCGUAAACGUUGGGCGCUAGGUGUGGGGACCUUCCACGGUCUCCGUGCGCAGCUAACGCAUUAAGCGCCCCGCCUGGGGAGUACGGCCGCAAGGCUAAAACUCAAAGAAUUGACGGGGGCCCGCACAAGCGGCGGAGCAUGCUGAUUAAUUCGAUGCAACGCGAAGACCUUACCUGGGUUUGACAUAUACCGGAAAGCUGCAGAGAUGUAGCCCCCUUUUGGUCGGUUACAGGUGGUGCAUGGCUGUCGUCAGCUCGUGUCGUGAGAUGUUGGGUUAAGUCCCGCAAGAGCGCAACCCUCGUUCUAUGUUGCCAGCACGUUAUGGUGGGGACUCAUAGGAGACUGCCGGGUCAACUCGGAGGAAGGUGGGGAUGACGUCAAGUCUUCAUGCCCCUUAUGUCCAGGGCUCAAGCAUGCUACAAUGGCCGGUACAAAGGGCUGCGAAACUGUAAGGUGGAGCGAAUCCCAAAAGCCGGUCUCAGUUCGGAUUGGGGUCUGCAACUCGACCCCAUGAAGUCGGAGUCGCUGUAAUCGCAGAUCAGCAACGCUGCGGUGAAUACGUUCCCGGGCCUUGUACACACCGCCCG
RNAcentral lists this ribosomal RNA (880 nucleotides) under uncultured Aeromicrobium sp. Its description in RNAcentral is "bacterial SSU rRNA". It matches the Rfam family "Bacterial small subunit ribosomal RNA", at positions 502 to 1396 of the family's 1533-position model. The record is from RNAcentral. Lineage: Bacteria; Bacillati; Actinomycetota; Actinomycetes; Propionibacteriales; Nocardioidaceae.